RNAcentral lists this long non-coding RNA (373 nucleotides) under Homo sapiens (human). Its description in RNAcentral is "HSALNT0112113". Lineage: Eukaryota; Metazoa; Chordata; Mammalia; Primates; Hominidae. The record is from RNAcentral.
CCACAGCUGAGAAUCAUUGCCUCUGUUAGUUGCUCUGCCCAUCUAAUUGAAAUAGAUUCUCUCAGGUGUCGCUGAAUAAGGACCAGGUUUACUUAAGCUCACCAUUUCUGUAGAAAUUUAGAUUCUGGUAACCACUAUCAGGAGAUCUGUAUUAGGUCAGUUCACUCAACCCUGGCUUUCCUAUUUCAGCUUCCUUUGCAACUCUGUCAGUGGAAGACAAGUUGGGGUAGACAGGGUACAAGGACAGCAUGGAAGAAAGAAAAAAAUGCAUCCCAUUUUUUGUUAUUUUCUCAACAGUCUCUGAAAGAAAAGAAAAAGAAGUGUAGCUCUCUGUAUCCGACAAAAUGGCGCAUAAUCAUCUGUGAAAAUUGGA